UGGGGAAUUUUGCACAAUGGGGGAAACCCUGAUGCAGCGACGCCGCGUGAUUUAGAAGGCCUUCGGGUUGUAAAAAUCUUUUCUAUGGGAAGAAAAUGACAGUACCAUAGGAAUAAGGACCGGCUAAUUACGUGCCAGCAGCCGCGGUAAUACGUAAGGUCCGAGCGUUGUCCGGAAUCAUUGGGCGUAAAGGGUACGUAGGCGGGUAAGCAAGUUAGAAGUGAAAUCCUAUAGCUCAACUAUAGUAAGCUUUUAAAACUGCUCAUCUUGAGGUAUGGAAGGGAAAGUAGAAUUCCUAGUGUAGCGGUGAGAUGCGCAGAUAUUAGGAGGAAUACCGGUGGCGAAGGCGACUUUCUGGCCAUAACCUGACGCUGAGGUACGAAAGCGUGGGUAGCAAACAGG
RNAcentral lists this ribosomal RNA (402 nucleotides) under bacterium. RNAcentral's name for it is "partial 16S ribosomal RNA". It matches the Rfam family "Bacterial small subunit ribosomal RNA", at positions 355 to 776 of the family's 1533-position model. The record is from RNAcentral.